GGUUGUAGCUCAGUGGUAGAGUGCUUGCUUAGCACACAUGAGGUCCUGGGUUUGAUCCUCAGAACCA
This 67-nucleotide transfer RNA is filed under the name Marmota monax (woodchuck). It matches the Rfam family "tRNA". From Rfam's summary of the family: Transfer RNA (tRNA) molecules are approximately 80 nucleotides in length. Their secondary structure includes four short double-helical elements and three loops (D, anti-codon, and T loops). Lineage: Eukaryota; Metazoa; Chordata; Mammalia; Rodentia; Sciuridae. The record is from Rfam by way of RNAcentral.